This 436-nucleotide unclassified non-coding RNA is filed under the name Hevea brasiliensis (rubber tree). The record is from RNAcentral. Lineage: Eukaryota; Viridiplantae; Streptophyta; Magnoliopsida; Malpighiales; Euphorbiaceae.
GAUAGAGAACUGGCUGCUUUUUAAAGUUUUACCUAAUGAGAUCAAUGUGAGUGAUCCUUUUAUAAUUUUAAGUUGUAAGGUAGAGAAAGCUAAGUAUCUAUUUCAAAAAAUUAAAAAAAAAGACAGAAUCACAGAUGUUAUCAAUAAAGUAUUUGAAGUUAAAGAUUUUAAUAGAUAUAAGGGUCAAUCUGUGUUAAAUUUUGGUGCAGGGAGUCAAUUUAGUUUUUAUGAAAAAAUCAAAAAAAGACUAGGUCACCUGGCACUACAGUCAACCUUCUUCCUUCAUGAUGAGGUUCAUCACUGGCAGUUGGAGGACUUUUCAAAUUUCCUGGCUGCAACUCAACCCAAAAACGUGCUUUUCACUGCAAUUUAUCCUCCCGAGUUACUUGAGGGUAUCGACUUUUCAAUGAAUACAAUAGCUUAUUCAUUUGAAAUU